AGAACCAUGUAAACAAUGUGUUGACUAAACUAUUUAUAACAUUAACAUUUUAAUGACCUACCUUGCCCUUCUGAGUUCUGUAUAUACAGGUCAAAGUUCCAUGAUGUUAUUCAAUUAGAACCCAUUCAAUUUAAACACCCAUGACCAUCACUCCUCAUCAGCUGCAUCAAAGUGGUACUGAAGGUUCAGUGUUCUAGACUAGAGCACCUAUGGGUGGUCCUGGGAACCAAACCCAUAACGUUGCAGGUGCCAUGUUCUACCAACUGAGCUACAGAGGAACAUGUUUUGUAAAGUCUAAUGUGUAUAUACAGAUUUCUGAUAUGAGUCGGGACGUCUGUCAGGGGACAGACAGGAAAGUAGAAGAGGGAAGUGAUACUGAGUGUGUGCAUUUAAACCAACAAAAUACUUUAUACUAAACACAGGUUAAUACUACUCCUAUACACAACCCACCAUCACUGUGUUUAGGUUAAUACUACUCCUACACAACCCACCAUCACUGUGUUUAGGUUAAUACUACUCCUACACAACCCACCAUCACUGUGUUUAGGUUAAUACUACUCCUAUACACAACCCACCAUCACUGUGUUUAGGUUUAUACUACUCCUACACACAACCCACCAUCACUGUGUUU
Long non-coding RNA from Oncorhynchus tshawytscha (Chinook salmon), 631 nucleotides. The record is from Ensembl. NCBI's taxonomy places the organism in Eukaryota, Metazoa, Chordata, Actinopteri, Salmoniformes, Salmonidae.